UGGGGAAUUUUGGACAAUGGGCGCAAGCCUGAUCCAGCAAUGCCGCGUGCAGGAUGAAGGCCUUCGGGUUGUAAACUGCUUUUGUACGGAACGAAAAGCCUCUCUCUAAUACAGGGGGGUGAUGACGGUACCGUAAGAAUAAGCACCGGCUAACUACGUGCCAGCAGCCGCGGUAAUACGUAGGGUGCAAGCGUUAAUCGGAAUUACUGGGCGUAAAGCGUGCGCAGGCGGUUUUGUAAGACAGUGGUGAAAUCCCCGGGCUCAACCUGGGAACUGCCAUUGUGACUGCAAGGCUGGAGUGCGGCAGAGGGGGGAUGGAAUUCCGCGUGUAGCAGUGAAAUGCGUAGAUAUGCGGAGGAACACCGAUGGCGAAGGCAAUCCCCUGGGCCUGCACUGACGCUCAUGCACGAAAGCGU
This 416-nucleotide ribosomal RNA is filed under the name uncultured bacterium. RNAcentral describes it as "partial 16S ribosomal RNA". It matches the Rfam family "Bacterial small subunit ribosomal RNA", at positions 355 to 762 of the family's 1533-position model. The record is from RNAcentral.